UAAUCUCAGCUGGUAAUUAUGAGUAUUUAUCCAAAAGCCUCAAGUUACCAGGUGAGAUUUAA
This 62-nucleotide microRNA precursor is filed under the name Lingula anatina. Its description in RNAcentral is "Lan-Mir-216-P2d1_pre stem-loop". The record is from RNAcentral. Lineage: Eukaryota; Metazoa; Brachiopoda; Lingulata; Lingulida; Lingulidae.